This is a small nucleolar RNA of Jaculus jaculus (lesser Egyptian jerboa), 67 nucleotides long. RefSeq annotates it as small nucleolar RNA SNORD52. NCBI's taxonomy places the organism in Eukaryota, Metazoa, Chordata, Mammalia, Rodentia, Dipodidae. The transcript has a single exon. The record is from RefSeq and is a predicted model, not a curated record.
AAGAAUGUUGAUUUAUCAGACUGGAGCCUCUGACCCUGGACCUGAUGUCAAAUGGACAUUCUGACUU